UACGGGGGGGGCAAGCGUUGUUCGGAAUUACUGGGCGUAAAGGGCCAGUAGGCGGCCAACUAAGUCGGAUGUGAAAUCCCCAGGCUUAACCUGGGAACUGCAUCCGAUACUGGAUGGCUUGAAUUCGGGAGAGGGAUGCAGAAUUCCAGGUGUAGCGGUGAAAUGCGUAGAUAUCUGGAGGAAUACCGGUGGCGAAGGCGGCAUCCUGGACCGACAUUGACGCUGAACGGCGAAAGCUA
RNAcentral lists this ribosomal RNA (239 nucleotides) under uncultured bacterium. RNAcentral's name for it is "partial 16S ribosomal RNA". It matches the Rfam family "Bacterial small subunit ribosomal RNA", at positions 524 to 762 of the family's 1533-position model. The record is from RNAcentral.